This 836-nucleotide ribosomal RNA is filed under the name Pterolepis glomerata. RNAcentral's name for it is "eukaryotic LSU rRNA". The stretch from base 633 to 836 matches the Rfam family "Eukaryotic large subunit ribosomal RNA", at positions 1 to 204 of the family's 3401-position model. The record is from RNAcentral. Lineage: Eukaryota; Viridiplantae; Streptophyta; Magnoliopsida; Myrtales; Melastomataceae.
AGGAGAAGUCGUAACAAGGUUUCCGUAGGUGAACCUGCGGAAGGAUCAUUGUCGAAAUCGAACGGAAGAAAGACCCGCGAACCGUCUUUGCGAACCGAACAGAGCCCGCGAGCACCUAACGCUCGUGCGUCUCGCGUCGCGUCGGCGCGGGGCCUCUCGAAGGGCCCGCGCCGCUCCGACAAACGAACAACGUCAGCACGGAUCGUGCCAAGGAGCUGUAAAAGGCGGGAUUCGCCGUCCCACGGCCCCGGUCCAACUCGACGGGGGGCGGGGGACAUGCGCGAUCUCUGCUCUUAGUCUUAAUGACUCUCGGCAACGGAUAUCUCGGCUCUUGCAUCGAUGAAGAACGUAGCGAAAUGCGAUACUUGGUGUGAAUUGCAGAAUCCCGCGAACCAUCAAUUCUUUGAACGAAUCCCCUUGCCCCCGGGCACCCGCGCGGUCAUCGUCGCGGUUAUGCCCGGGCGCAGAAUAUGGUCUCCCGACGGGCCGGCGUGCACGGCACGCCGCGGUGCGGUUGGCCGAAAAUCGAGCGUUGCGAGGUCGGGCUCCACGGCGUUCGGUGGAUCGAACGCGAUUGGCUGCGCCGUGGUCCCGUCAUGCCGCAGGCUCCGGACUACGACGAUUCUCGAGUGCGAUCCCAGGUCAGGCGGGGCUACCCGCUGAGUUUAAGCAUAUCAAUAAGCGGAGGAAAAGAAACUAACGAGGAUUCCCUUAGUAGCGGCGAGCGAACCGGGACGAGCCCAGCGUGAAAAUCGUCCGCCCUCGGCGGCCGAAUUGUAGUCUGGAGAAGCGUCCUCAGUGACGGACCGGGCCCAAGUUCACUGGAAGGUGGCGCC